CCGACACUUAGAAGGGUCGGGAGAAAAUAUUUCACCCUCCCUGCUAAUGAAAAAUGUACAGUAAAUUUUUGCACGGAAGAAAUUUUACUUAAUUGGAAUGACCUACGCGGCAAUCCUGUGCAAGGGCAAUAUACCAAUUUUAUUAGGAUUCAAUUUGGAAAGUUCUUACAUGAUCCAACAGGAACAUGGACUUGGUAUAACUGUUGUAUGUUCUUGCACAUGUCUACUCCAAUCGUAUCGCGCGUUUUUAGUGCCGUUCGCUUGCCAUUGUGUUUAGGUUAGUGACAGGAUAGGCGAGAUGGUCU
Non-coding RNA from Paramuricea clavata, 305 nucleotides. Lineage: Eukaryota; Metazoa; Cnidaria; Anthozoa; Malacalcyonacea; Plexauridae. The record is from the annotation of a GenBank genome assembly.